UACAGAGGUCUCAAGCGUUGUUCGGAUUCAUUGGGCGUAAAGGGUGCGUAGGUGGCGAUGCAAGUCGGAUGUGAAAUCUCCGGGCUCAACCCGGAAACUGCAUUCGAUACUGCAUUGCUUGAGGAUUGUAGAGGGCAUUGGAAUUCACGGUGUAGCAGUGAAAUGCGUAGAUAUCGUGAGGAAGACCAGUGGCGAAGGCGAAUGCCUGGGCAAUUCCUGACACUGAGGCACGAAGGCCAGGGGAGCAAAC
RNAcentral lists this ribosomal RNA (250 nucleotides) under uncultured bacterium. RNAcentral describes it as "partial 16S ribosomal RNA". It matches the Rfam family "Bacterial small subunit ribosomal RNA", at positions 524 to 773 of the family's 1533-position model. The record is from RNAcentral.